Molecule: ribosomal RNA, 468 nt
Filed under: uncultured bacterium
Lineage: Bacteria
Description: partial 16S ribosomal RNA
Rfam family: Bacterial small subunit ribosomal RNA
Source: RNAcentral
GACGAACGCUGGCGGCGUGCUUAACACAUGCAAGUCGAACGGAAAGGCCCUGCUUUUGUGGGGUGCUCGAGUGGCGAACGGGUGGGUAACACGUGAGUAACCUGCCCUUGACUUUGGGAUAACUUCAGGAAACUGGGGCUACUACCGGAUAGGAGCUCCUGCUGCAUGGUGGGGGUUGGAAAGUUUCGGCGGUUGGGGAUGGACUCGCGGCUUAUCAGCUUGUUGGUGGGGUAGUGGCUUACCAAGGCUUUGACGGGUAGCCGGCCUGAGAGGGUGACCGGCCACAUUGGGACUGAGAUACGGCCCAGACUCCUACGGGAGGCAGCAGUGGGGAAUAUUGCACAAUGGGCGGAAGCCUGAUGCAGCAACGCCGCGUGCGGGAUGACGGCCUUCGGGUUGUAAACCGCUUUCGCCUGUGACGAAGCGUGAGUGACGGUAAUGGGUAAAGAAGCACCGGCUAACUACGUG